RNAcentral lists this transfer RNA (65 nucleotides) under Fukomys damarensis (Damara mole-rat). It matches the Rfam family "tRNA". From Rfam's summary of the family: Transfer RNA (tRNA) molecules are approximately 80 nucleotides in length. Their secondary structure includes four short double-helical elements and three loops (D, anti-codon, and T loops). Further hydrogen bonds mediate the characteristic L-shaped molecular structure. tRNAs have two regions of fundamental functional importance: the anti-codon, which is responsible for specific mRNA codon recognition, and the 3' end, to which the tRNAs corresponding amino acid is attached (by aminoacyl-tRNA synthetases). tRNAs cope with the degeneracy of the genetic code in two manners: having more than one tRNA (with a specific anti-codon) for a particular amino acid; and 'wobble' base-pairing, i.e. permitting non-standard base-pairing at the 3rd anti-codon position. Lineage: Eukaryota; Metazoa; Chordata; Mammalia; Rodentia; Bathyergidae. The record is from Rfam by way of RNAcentral.
GGUGUAGCUCAGUGGCACAGCGCCUGCAUGGCAAGCAUGAGGCCCUGAGUUUAAUUCCCAGUACC